This 1489-nucleotide ribosomal RNA is filed under the name Lactiplantibacillus plantarum. RNAcentral's name for it is "bacterial SSU rRNA". It matches the Rfam family "Bacterial small subunit ribosomal RNA". The record is from RNAcentral. Lineage: Bacteria; Bacillati; Bacillota; Bacilli; Lactobacillales; Lactobacillaceae.
GACGAACGCUGGCGGCGUGCCUAAUACAUGCAAGUCGAACGAACUCUGGUAUUGAUUGGUGCUUGCAUCAUGAUUUACAUUUGAGUGAGUGGCGAACUGGUGAGUAACACGUGGGAAACCUGCCCAGAAGCGGGGGAUAACACCUGGAAACAGAUGCUAAUACCGCAUAACAACUUGGACCGCAUGGUCCGAGUUUGAAAGAUGGCUUCGGCUAUCACUUUUGGAUGGUCCCGCGGCGUAUUAGCUAGAUGGUGGGGUAACGGCUCACCAUGGCAAUGAUACGUAGCCGACCUGAGAGGGUAAUCGGCCACAUUGGGACUGAGACACGGCCCAAACUCCUACGGGAGGCAGCAGUAGGGAAUCCUCCACAAUGGACGAAAGUCUGAUGGAGCAACGCCGCGUGAGUGAAGAAGGGUUUCGGCUCGUAAAACUCUGUUGUUAAAGAAGAACAUAUCUGAGAGUAACUGUUCAGGUAUUGACGGUAUUUAACCAGAAAGCCACGGCUAACUACGUGCCAGCAGCCGCGGUAAUACGUAGGUGGCAAGCGUUGUCCGGAUUUAUUGGGCGUAAAGCGAGCGCAGGCGGUUUUUUAAGUCUGAUGUGAAAGCCUUCGGCUCAACCGAAGAAGUGCAUCGGAAACUGGGAAACUUGAGUGCAGAAGAGGACAGUGGAACUCCAUGUGUAGCGGUGAAAUGCGUAGAUAUAUGGAAGAACACCAGUGGCGAAGGCGGCUGUCUGGUCUGUAACUGACGCUGAGGCUCGAAAGUAUGGGUAGCAAACAGGAUUAGAUACCCUGGUAGUCCAUACCGUAAACGAUGAAUGCUAAGUGUUGGAGGGUUUCCGCCCUUCAGUGCUGCAGCUAACGCAUUAAGCAUUCCGCCUGGGGAGUACGGCCGCAAGGCUGAAACUCAAAGGAAUUGACGGGGGCCCGCACAAGCGGUGGAGCAUGUGGUUUAAUUCGAAGCUACGCGAAGAACCUUACCAGGUCUUGACAUACUAUGCAAAUCUAAGAGAUUAGACGUUCCCUUCGGGGACAUGGAUACAGGUGGUGCAUGGUUGUCGUCAGCUCGUGUCGUGAGAUGUUGGGUUAAGUCCCGCAACGAGCGCAACCCUUAUUAUCAGUUGCCAGCAUUAAGUUGGGCACUCUGGUGAGACUGCCGGUGACAAACCGGAGGAAGGUGGGGAUGACGUCAAAUCAUCAUGCCCCUUAUGACCUGGGCUACACACGUGCUACAAUGGAUGGUACAACGAGUUGCGAACUCGCGAGAGUAAGCUAAUCUCUUAAAGCCAUUCUCAGUUCGGAUUGUAGGCUGCAACUCGCCUACAUGAAGUCGGAAUCGCUAGUAAUCGCGGAUCAGCAUGCCGCGGUGAAUACGUUCCCGGGCCUUGUACACACCGCCCGUCACACCAUGAGAGUUUGUAACACCCAAAGUCGGUGGGGUAACCUUUUAGGAACCAGCCGCCUAAGGUGGGACAGAUGAUUAGGGUG